UGCCGUAUCAGAAAGAGUCAAGGCAGUCUC
RNAcentral lists this non-coding RNA (30 nucleotides) under Mus musculus (house mouse). Lineage: Eukaryota; Metazoa; Chordata; Mammalia; Rodentia; Muridae. The record is from RNAcentral.